RNA transcript from Vigna radiata var. radiata (mung bean), 1858 nucleotides. It is a transcript of the gene named probable starch synthase 4, chloroplastic/amyloplastic, with no coding region annotated. The record is from RefSeq and is a predicted model, not a curated record. Lineage: Eukaryota; Viridiplantae; Streptophyta; Magnoliopsida; Fabales; Fabaceae. The transcript is spliced from 5 exons.
AAAAACCUAAGAGUCAUAAUCACUGUAAAAUUCUCCUGGAGCCCUUCCUCUUCCCUUUCAUCGAACCCUUGUUCCUUCUCAUCGAGCCAUUAUUCUCCAACCUUUCUUCUCUAGCCAUCCCGUUAUAAGCCUUUCUUUUUGUCGAGCAAUUUUCUUCGAGCCUUUCCUCUCCCUGUCUAGAACCAUCAUCUUCAUUCCUCGAACCAUCAUCUUCGUGUCUCGAAUCCUAGGAGUCCCUACCUCCAAUCGUGGCCCUUUGUCCUUGUAUGGUACCCGUGUUCUCUGUCAACGAACCCUCAAUUUCUCAUAGUGGAGCCCCAGGAAUCCUAUUAUCGUACUCUGAGGUUAAUGCUACCUUCUUUUGGUCUCGGUGAGUCUGUGUUUGGUUGUCUAGCCAUCUCUCAGUGUUCGUUGUUGCAGAUUUAGCCAUCUCUCAGUGUUCGUUGUUGUAGAUUUGGUCAGAAGAAGAAGUUUGGUUGUCUAACCUCCACUGUACACCUCUCCCGCGUUGGCUUUCCCCUGAAACGCUACCCUAAAAUUGGAAAAUUGAAAAACCCUAACGUGUUUGAAUGAGGGAUUGAAUGAGAAAUGGCGUCGAAGUUGAAAACGUGUUUUGUAUGGUAGAACCUGAAUGGUUUCAUCUAUGUUAACCACUCUAAGGGAAAUGGUAGGAUAGUGCAAGUUUCAUUUCCAAGUUCUUGCAAAAUGCGACACCGAACCACUUUCAGCAGUUUGCAGAAUAAGAGGCAACGGAUCAAGCCUUCCAUUGAGGAAGGUCUAUGUCAAAAUCAAGAUGAGAAAGAAGAUUCAGAGGUUUCAUUCAAUAACUAAGAAACUCCAAGAACUUGUUAUCUAAACGAAAGAAUUGAAGCUUGAUUGAGGGAAUUUGAAUAGGUUUGCUAAGAAGGGAGCCUUAAUGUAUUUGAAUAUCAAUCACGAGAAACAUAUAUGGCCUAAAAAGAACAGAGUGAACAUGAGGUUAUUUCUGCAUUUCUUGGUUUUUUAUCUUUUGCAACAAGGUAUUCACUUUUAAUUGUAAAUUACAAUUUGAAUAUCUUUUACUGGUUGAUGCAUCUUUUAUUUUUUAUCUAUAGUCCAGAUUACAUGUGAUUCAUAUUACAGCAGAGAUGGCACUAAUACCUAAGGUGCACUCAUCCUAAUCCCUGUGUUUUAUUCUUGUAAGUGGAUUUUAUUACACCUACUGGAAUCUUAAAGAGGCAUGUCAGAACCAUCUGGAUUUUCUUUAAAGAAAGGGAGUACUGGGUCUGAGUUCUAUAUUGAAAUAAAUUCUCAGACCUCCUUAAAAUGUUGGUGGGAUGUUGUCAGUGGUCUAGGUAAAGCACUGCAAAAGAAAGGACACCUUGUUGAAAUUGUGCUUCUCAAAUAUGAUUGUAUGCAAUAUGAUCAUGUCUGCAACUUACGGGCUCCUCUGUACUGGGAGAUAUUUGUACAUAAAGGAUUAAAUUCAGCUAGGAUAUGCUUUACAUGCCACAACUUUGAGUAUCAGGGGACUGCAGUAGCUUCAGAGUUAGACUAAUGCGGUCUUGUUAACAAGAAUCUAAAAAUAUCAGAUAAAAUGCCGAACAACUCAGCACAUGAGUUAAUUAUAAGAUAAGGUCAUAAAAUUAUUACCAAUCUUACUAUAUAUCUGUAGUAAAUAUACCUAAUAGAUUUUACUUUCAUGAUAAGGGGAUUGUUUUCUCAUUGUGACAACAGUUUCACCUCUUUCACGACCUCACCUUAUAAUUUCUUUCAAUUUGAUACGGGUGUUGUAAAUCAAAUGAGUUACUACAAAAUUUCAUUAAAUUUUAAUCGUGCUUAUGAUGAUUAAUUUAAUUUUAUAAUAUUUAUAUAUAAA